RNAcentral lists this long non-coding RNA (684 nucleotides) under Bos mutus (wild yak). RNAcentral describes it as "lncRNA (ENSBMUG00000003544.1)". Lineage: Eukaryota; Metazoa; Chordata; Mammalia; Artiodactyla; Bovidae. The record is from RNAcentral.
CAGCAGUUGCUUUGGAGAGAGGAAAGAAAGUCUUGAUUAACUGACGGGCAGGGAGUGGGGAAGGAGAGCAGGGAGGCUAUGUUAAAUUCAUAAGAACAUUAAAAUAGCCUGGUGCUAAGCGAAAUUGACCGAUCUACUGUGUGUAAUCUCUGUAGAAUUUUGCGGCAACUGCCUCCAUAGGGGAAUCUUUUCAACAUUACUUUUUUGAACCCUAUAAAAUGUUCCUUCUCCCUCUCCAAAAUAAGAUUGCACUAAGUAACUGUAUGCAGCAGUGUUGAUGGAGGGUCAGUCUUGAGAAUAGAACCACACUUAACUGCCUAAUACAUUAGUCCAUUUGUGUAGUUUUUGGCAUUCUAGUAAUUUUCGGUUUUGCUUUCCUUUUGAAACUGUGGAUGGCAGGUGGCAUGUUUUACUUAAAAUAAGCUCCACACGGGAUAAAUCCAGCAGGUCUGUGAUUGAGUCAGCAGUUUUUUUAAAGCUUGUUUUCCCAGAAUGAUUACAGACCUGGGUCCAAAGAACAAGAUGCAGUAGCGGACAGAUUGCUGACCAGAGGCUUGAGAGCUGAGUUCUGUUUUCCCUGCUCAAACUGACUUUGCAGCCACGGAGAGGUAAAUGCUAUUUCCACUUCUUGGUCUUACAUAUAGGAGUAAUAAAACCUUUCUGGGGUUGGAGGAUUUGCUGGAU